Molecule: ribosomal RNA, 451 nt
Filed under: Bacillus subtilis
Lineage: Bacteria; Bacillati; Bacillota; Bacilli; Caryophanales; Bacillaceae
Description: bacterial SSU rRNA
Rfam family: Bacterial small subunit ribosomal RNA
Source: RNAcentral
GGUAGGANUUCGCAUGGAGAAGUCUGACGGAGCAACGCCGCGUGAGUGAUGAAGGUUUUCGGAUCCUANAGCUCUGUUGUUAGGGAAGAACAAGUGCCGUUCAAAUAGGGCGGCACCUUGACGGUACCUAACCAGAAAGCCACGGCUAACUACGUGCCAGCAGCCGCGGUAAUACGUAGGUGGCAAGCGUUGUCCGGAAUUAUUGGGCGUAAAGGGCUCGCAGGCGGUUUCUUAAGUCUGAUGUGAAAGCCCCCGGCUCAACCGGGGAGGGUCAUUGGAAACUGGGGAACUUGAGUGCAGAAGAGGAGAGUGGAAUUCCACGUGUAGCGGUGAAAUGCGUAGAGAUGUGGAGGAACACCAGUGGCGAAGGCGACUCUCUGGUCUGUAACUGACGCUGAGGAGCGAAAGCGUGGGGAGCGAACAGGAUUAGAUACCCUGGUAGUCCACGCAA